Molecule: long non-coding RNA, 5385 nt
Organism: Sapajus apella (tufted capuchin)
Lineage: Eukaryota; Metazoa; Chordata; Mammalia; Primates; Cebidae
Exons: 3
Source: RefSeq, a predicted model, not a curated record
UGGUGACCGUCAUGGUGAUAGUGAUGGUGACAGUGAUGGUGACAGUGAUGAUGAGGAUGAUAAUGAUAAUGAUUAUCUGCCCAGGAAAUUUAGGGCCACCUCUUCUAAUCCUUCCCAAACAAAUUUUAGAAAAGAGACUCAGGAAGUUUUGGAGAAGUGUUUAAAAGGUGGGGGCGGUGAGAUUUAAGCCCCUUUAACUGCCUGAUGCUGCAGCCCCUCCUGGAUGUCUUUACUUGUGCAACACUGUGAAGACACACCUGAAUGUGAACCCCGAAGACGCUGGGGAGCAAGGAAGGCCCUCUUUCUCCGUGAGGGGUACUUGUAGAGCAGAUUCAAGAUAGAAAGUGAGGCAGGCUGUGUAGUGGCAGUGAGCUUCUGAGUGGAAGGGUGCUUAUUGGGACCCUGGGUGUGCCACCUACCUGCAGGGUGACUUUGGGCAAGUCCCUGAACUUCUCUGAGAUUCAGUGUUACAUACUCAAAAUGGGGCUAACUAAUUGUAAUUUUCUCACCACAUUUUGAAGAUCAGAGAAACACGUCUAUGUUAUCUACAAUCAGUGUGUAGGUGCCUAAUAAAAGGCAAUGAUACAUUUUGCUGUUGUUACAGUGGUUGUAGCAGCAGCAAUAGCAGUGGUUGAGAGAUCACAUCACCUUCCGUCUGGCUGCUAAGUGUACAAACAUCAUCCGUGUUCUGUUCAUUCUGCCACAUCCAAUCCACCAGCAAGUUCAUUCAUUUUCUCUGCAGGAUAAGUCUCAAAUCUAACCCUGAUCUGCAAGUCACCCAUCAGGAUCUGGUGGAAGUGGCCAUCUCUUGCCUUUAUUACUGCCACAGCCUCCUCACUGAUCUCUCUGCUUCCAAUCUUCCUUCCACCUUCCAAUCCACUUUAUGCACCAUAGCCAGAGUUACAUUGUUAAACUGCAGAAAAAUCAUGACACUCCUCUGUUAAAAACUCUUCAAAAGCCAACCUAAUAAGAAUAACUGAUAAACAGUGGUGUGCUAGAAAAUGCUGAACUAUAUGGUCACUCCAGGGGUGAGGAAGAACCCUGAUUCCUAGCAUCUGCCAAUUCCUGUGGUGUAAAUAUUCCACCAUCACUAAUUUGAAACCAGGCUACCAAAGAGGUAUGAGUUGAGAAGAGAUGCAGGAAGUUGGCUUUCAGGAGCUGUUUCCAGCAUCUCACUGAGUAGUCGUUGAGUUUCCUCUGUACUAAGCUAGGGCUUCUAUUUCACAGCAUGAUCUCAUUUAAUUCUCACCAUAGCUGUGUAUAAGACAGGUGCUUUUGUUGUCCCUGUGAUACAGAUGGAGAAACUGAGGCAUGGGCCAUCUGGCUCCAGCACCUCGCCACACCGUAUUGCCUCUCUUUGUUGUGCUUAAAAUAAAAUCCAAACUCCUUAUCUUGUUGACAAGACCCAGAACCUGUACCUGUGUUCUUCCACCAUCAUUGUGUGCCCAUACCUACCCCUACACUCUGCUCCAUCAUGUCUGGUUCUUCCUGGUGCAGGCCUGCUUUCAUGCUGCAGGCCUUCAUCCCUUUGUCCCUCUGCCUGGAAGACUCUUCUCCAGCUCUUUGCAUAGCUGGUCCUUCCUCAUCUUGAGGUCCCAUCUUAAACAUCACCUAGCCACCCAUCUUUGUCUCUCUUGUUGUCCUGUUUCUAUCCAUCCCAGAGUGUAUCACACCCACUUAGUGAUUUAGUUAUUUGCCUAAUGGUUCAAUAGUGGCUCCCAGGGGAAGAUGAGGAGUGAGGAGGCGAUCGGCUUCCCAGGGGACAUCUAACAAUGCCUGAAGACGUUUUUCGUCAUCACAACUCAGGAGGGGUGGCUGGUGGGUUACUGGCAUCCAAGAGGUCAAGGCCAGGGACGCUGCUCACCACCCUCCAAUGCAUAAAGUACUUGAUGUCUUCUACCACUUUCAAGGUAGAGAUCCCACUCUGUGACUUUGCAUAUAAAGUUGUCUGUGAUUUAGCCCUUAAAUGCCCCACCACAAAGAAUUACCUGAUCCAAAACGCCAAUAGUGGAGUGGCAAGGCUGAAACAUUUUGCUGUUGGCUGUUUUUCUCUCCCUGCUAGAAUGCAAAUUCCAGGAAGGCAUGGCCUUGACAACUUUGUUCUCUGCUGUAUUCCCAGUGCCUGGCACACAGUAGGUGCUUUAAAACCACGUGUUACAUGACUAAAUUAAAAAGUAACGGUACUGCCAAUCAUCAUCACUGUAACAAUAAUAACGAGGCAUCUUUUUGAAGAGAUGCCAAAGUGUUCAAGGCAGGUAGGAAGAGGUGGAGAAGGUGCUGCUCUCCUGUUCUCUCUGCUUAGCACUCUUUUUGGCCCAAAGACAGGGAAGGAGGGGCAGGCACUUGAUAAAAUCACCUCCUCCUCCAUCCCUGACCUCCCGGAGCAGCCGUCCACUAAGUGUUGCACUUGGCUACAGUUCCUCUUAGUAAUUUGGUUAAUUGGAUGAACAGGCACUUUAGUGACACAGACUGGAUUUCCACGCCGCAGUCCAUCAAAACUAAUCAGUUGGCUGUGUUCCAUUUCUCAGCAACUGACAGCUUUGCCAGGAUGGUGGUAGAUGGUAACUUUUUAAAUUGAAGAACUUGCUAAAUAAUGGCAGUUAGAACUUGGCAGGAUGCUUUCAGAGGGGAAGGGGAGACAAGAAAUCCAGUGUUGGCUUUGCUUUCCCUCAAAGAGAUAAUCUUGUUAAGGGGCCGGCUGAUUAAAAGUUUCUUCCAAAGACAGUGGUGAAAAGUAAUCAUCUUCAAAUUGUACUUUGUUUCUUUUGUGUAAAAAGUAAUUGCAAAGCUUGUGUACUGCAUUCUUCCUUUCUAAGAUGUUUAUUAACAAUUAACAUUGUUAUUUUUAUAUACUGUAUGACUAAUACUAAUGUAUUGUCUUAGUUAGAAUAGUACCGGCUACUAUAAGAAAACAAACCUCAAAAUUUUAGUGGCUUAACACAAGCUAUCUCAAUCCCCUCAGAGUCCAGUCUGGAGUUUCUGGUUAGAGUGUCUCUCUUCCAUGCAGUGAUUCAGGGACCCAGGCUUCUUUCAUCUGUGGGCCUGUUAUCCUCUAGGGCCUCAAUGGCAUCUGUCCCUAGCCAGCAAAAGGAGAAGAAGGGCAUGGAGAAGGCACACUCAAUUUUUAAAAACCUUGACCCAGAAGUGAUGUACAAUAUUUCUAUUCACAUUCCUUGAGUAAGAAUAGUCAUAUGGCUAUCUCUGGCUACAAAGAGGACUGAUAAAUGUGUCCCUUCUGAGCCAUAACUCCAUAUCAUGGAAGAGAGAACAUGAGCUUUGAUGGCCAACUAGCCAUCUUGGCCACAGGUGGACAGCUCACCCACACAACCCUAUGAGAAAUUAGGAUUUCCCCUUCCCUUAAACAAGAAAAGUGAGGCUCAGAUGUGGUAAGCAACCGAUGUAUAUUUAUGUUCUUAGCAAGGAGCCAAGUCAAGAGUUGCAUGUGUAUAGAUUAUAAAGCCUGUAUCUUCCCUCUUUCCCUCUUUUCUCCCUCCCGUCCAUCUCUCUCCCAUCUGUUUUUCUCCCUCAAUUCUUUUGUUUACUCUCUUUUAUCAUUCUAAACCUUGAAAAUUUCUAAAACAUGAACAUUUUGCUUCUGUAACCUUGUAUGUUUUCAACAUGGUUGUUCUUUUUGGUUUGAAGAUUGUCCCCAUUGGAUAUCUUUAACCUAAGAGAUUUGCCUAAAGCAUACUAGAUGAUUUCUGAAGCCUUCAUUUUGCUCUCAAAAGUACAGGAAAGUUAAAAAUGAUAGAAAAGAGACAUUUCUAAAAAGCAAAUCUGAUACUAUCACUCCCUUAUAGAAUAAUACUUGAUGUGUCCCUGUCACUUUCAAAGUAGAGAUCUCACUACCUUAGCAUAUAAAGUCAUCUUUUUAUAUGCAUCUUGACUUAGCAUAUAACGCUGUCUGUGAUUUAGCCCCUAAAUGCCUCCCUGACCUUCACUCAGACCUCAGGCAGUUUUUUGGAAGACCUGCAGCUCUUCCACACCUAUCCUGCGUUCACCUGUCGGCCUGGCCCCUGCCUCCAUACACCCAUUGCGUUCUGUGGUUCCAAAGUAGGCCCUACUGAAGACUACAGCACUAGACUGGAAUUGUUGACUCGUGUGUAGAUUUUGUGUGUUUUCCCCUAUUAGACUGUGGGCUCCUCAAAGACAGGGGCUCGUCCGAUCUAUUUUUAUCUCCCAAGUGUCCAGCACAGGGCAUGACACAAAGCUGGUGCCCGUUCAAUCUGAAGUGCACACAAGAAGGAAUGAACCACUGCUAAGCUGCAAGACAGGCAUCAGAAGUAAGAGGUUUCACAUCCACUGGUAAUUCAAAAUGAGGUAAAGCCACGAUUCAAUUUAGUUGGAACUUACAGGGUGAUGUAGUAACCUUGCGUGUGCAUAGAAGAAGGGUUUUAUAGUUUACAGAGCGCGCUCCUAUAGGAUCUUCUAUGAUCCUGCCAUCAUGCUGAGAAAGAGAUAAGGUAUGGCACGUGUGCUUGUGUGUAUAUGUAUUGUGUUUGUGUGUACAUGUACACCUGCUGCUUUUCACCCCUAACAAUCAUGUCUUGACAUGUUUAAAGAUGCUGGAGAUGGUUUCUGGGUGGGUCGGCUUCAUUGCAAAGGGCAGGCUGUCUCUGUCUUACGGUUGCAUUUCUUUGCAUCGCUGGUCUGAAGAAGUUGUUAGUCUGCGUAGAGAGAUUGCUGAGGAGGCCACAAUAUCCCCAAAUUUAGAAAGGUGGAUGAAUCCAGGGACCUAUGGCCCACUCACUUGUGUUAACAAACAUUUCCAGUGCCGUGCGGCGACCAGUCCAUAGCUUCAUUGCACAAUUGCAGGGUUUUGUAUGAAGGUUUGCAGGGAGCAUGCCAGAGCCUAUUUCUAAACAGUCUGAUGAUUUAUUUGAUGCCUUCGGAUAUUUAAAUAGUCUGCAGUGUACACCGAGUGUCUGAAAUGUUUAUUUUUUCCUUGCGUUAAUGUGUGGGACCUCUCACUACGUCUUGUACACCCCAGGCACUCAAUAAAUAUGAUUUAUGGAAGAUGUAAAUAAAUCCAAACCAGGAUGAUGUCUGUGUUCAUUAAUUUGUAGCUCCAGAAGGCAGUCCCCUUCUCCAAACUUGAAAAAGAGAAAAAUCCUCACCAAAUCACAGAAGAAAAGAAAAUGCAAAAUGUAUGACUCACCGGCCCAAGUAAAAAGUCCUGAAACUCCCUGGAGUGAAAUAAGAAAUUCAUGACUAUGUUCUCAGCUUUGUGACCUUGGGCCAAUUAUUUAACCUUGCCGCGUUGUCCCUUCUUAACUAAACACUGAACUGGAAUGGUUAAACGAUAUGACAGUGCCACUGAGCUUCAGAUAAAUGAGGAAGAGAAGAAAACAGGACGGGCCAGGUGUGGUAACAUAUGCCUGUAAU